RNAcentral lists this ribosomal RNA (828 nucleotides) under Escherichia coli. Its description in RNAcentral is "partial 23S ribosomal RNA". It matches the Rfam family "Bacterial large subunit ribosomal RNA", at positions 604 to 1431 of the family's 2925-position model. The record is from RNAcentral. Lineage: Bacteria; Pseudomonadati; Pseudomonadota; Gammaproteobacteria; Enterobacterales; Enterobacteriaceae.
CCUUUUGUAUAAUGGGUCAGCGACUUAUAUUCUGUAGCAAGGUUAACCGAAUAGGGGAGCCGAAGGGAAACCGAGUCUUAACUGGGCGUUAAGUUGCAGGGUAUAGACCCGAAACCCGGUGAUCUAGCCAUGGGCAGGUUGAAGGUUGGGUAACACUAACUGGAGGACCGAACCGACUAAUGUUGAAAAAUUAGCGGAUGACUUGUGGCUGGGGGUGAAAGGCCAAUCAAACCGGGAGAUAGCUGGUUCUCCCCGAAAGCUAUUUAGGUAGCGCCUCGUGAAUUCAUCUCCGGGGGUAGAGCACUGUUUCGGCAAGGGGGUCAUCCCGACUUACCAACCCGAUGCAAACUGCGAAUACCGGAGAAUGUUAUCACGGGAGACACACGGCGGGUGCUAACGUCCGUCGUGAAGAGGGAAACAACCCAGACCGCCAGCUAAGGUCCCAAAGUCAUGGUUAAGUGGGAAACGAUGUGGGAAGGCCCAGACAGCCAGGAUGUUGGCUUAGAAGCAGCCAUCAUUUAAAGAAAGCGUAAUAGCUCACUGGUCGAGUCGGCCUGCGCGGAAGAUGUAACGGGGCUAAACCAUGCACCGAAGCUGCGGCAGCGACGCUUAUGCGUUGUUGGGUAGGGGAGCGUUCUGUAAGCCUGUGAAGGUGUGCUGUGAGGCAUGCUGGAGGUAUCAGAAGUGCGAAUGCUGACAUAAGUAACGAUAAAGCGGGUGAAAAGCCCGCUCGCCGGAAGACCAAGGGUUCCUGUCCAACGUUAAUCGGGGCAGGGUGAGUCGACCCCUAAGGCGAGGCCGAAAGGCGUAGUCGAUGGGAAACAGGUU